GAUCAUGGCUCAGGAUGAACGCUGGCGGCGUGCUUAACACAUGCAAGUCGAACGAGAAAUGGAGACAGAAACCUUCGGGCGGAAGCCUUCAUUUCGAGUGGCGGACGGGUGAGUAACGCGUGGGUAACCUGCCUCAUACAGGGGGAUAACAGUUGGAAACGACUGUUAAUACCGCAUAAGACCACAGCACCGCAUGGUGCGGGGGUAAAAACUCCGGUGGUAUGAGAUGGACCCGCGUUCGAUUAGCCAG
Molecule: ribosomal RNA, 250 nt
Filed under: uncultured bacterium
Lineage: Bacteria
Description: partial 16S ribosomal RNA
Rfam family: Bacterial small subunit ribosomal RNA
Source: RNAcentral